AGCGGCGGACGGGUGAGUAAUACAUAGGAAACUGCCCAGUAGUGGGGGAUAGCCCGGGGAAACCCGGAUUAAUACCGCGUACGCCCUAAGGGGGAAAGCAGGGGAUCCGUUCUUUUCGCGCUAUUGGAUGUGCCUAUGUCGGAUUAGCUAGUUGGUGGGGUAAAGGCCUACCAAGGCGACGAUCCGUAGCUGGUCUGAGAGGAUGAUCAGCCACAUCGGGACUGAGACACGGCCCGAACUCCUACGGGAGGCAGCAGUGGGGAAUAUUGGACAAUGGGGGCAACCCUGAUCCAGCCAUGCCGCGUGUGUGAAGAAGGCUUUCGGGUUGUAAAGCACUUUCAGUGAGGAGGAAAACCCUGCGACUAAUAUUCGUAGGGCUUGACGUUACUCACAGAAGAAGCACCGGCUAACUCCGUGCCAGCAGCCGCGGUAAUACGGAGGGUGCAAGCGUUAAUCGGAAUUACUGGGCGUAAAGCGCGCGUAGGUGGUUUGAUAAGCGAGAUGUGAAAGCCCCGGGCUUAACCUGGGAACGGCAUUUCGAACUGUCAGGCUAGAGUAUGGUAGAGGAGUGUGGAAUUCCCUGUGUAGCGGUGAAAUGCGUAGAUAUAGGAAGGACACCAGUGGCGAGCGGCACUCUGGACAAUACUGACACUGAAGUGCGAAAGCCGUGGGGGGAAGCCA
RNAcentral lists this ribosomal RNA (681 nucleotides) under uncultured bacterium. Its description in RNAcentral is "bacterial SSU rRNA". It matches the Rfam family "Bacterial small subunit ribosomal RNA", at positions 94 to 775 of the family's 1533-position model. The record is from RNAcentral.